UACUCGAGUGGCGAACGGGUGAGUAACACGUGGGUGAUCUGCCUUGCACUUCGGGAUAAGCCUGGGAAACUGGGUCUAAUACCGGAUAGGACCAUGCUUUAGUGUGUGUGGUGGAAAGUUUUUUCGGUGCAAGAUGAGCCCGCGGCCUAUCAGCUUGUUGGUGGGGUAAUGGCCUACCAAGGCGACGACGGGUAGCCGGCCUGAGAGGGUGUACGGCCACAUUGGGACUGAGACACGGCCCAG
RNAcentral lists this ribosomal RNA (243 nucleotides) under uncultured Actinomycetales bacterium. Its description in RNAcentral is "partial 16S ribosomal RNA". It matches the Rfam family "Bacterial small subunit ribosomal RNA", at positions 88 to 334 of the family's 1533-position model. Lineage: Bacteria; Bacillati; Actinomycetota; Actinomycetes; Actinomycetales. The record is from RNAcentral.